UAUUAGUAAGCAAUAUAUUGCGUACCGGUUUCGACCCGGUAAGGGCCGAUGGCACUAAUUC
RNAcentral lists this transfer RNA (61 nucleotides) under Dendrobaena tellermanica. Its description in RNAcentral is "tRNA-Arg". Lineage: Eukaryota; Metazoa; Annelida; Clitellata; Crassiclitellata; Lumbricidae. The record is from RNAcentral.